RNAcentral lists this small nuclear RNA (178 nucleotides) under Salmo salar (Atlantic salmon). RNAcentral describes it as "U2 spliceosomal RNA (ENSSSAG00000109922.1)". It matches the Rfam family "U2 spliceosomal RNA". From Rfam's summary of the family: U2 is a small nuclear RNA (snRNA) component of the spliceosome (involved in pre-mRNA splicing). Complementary binding between U2 snRNA (in an area lying towards the 5' end but 3' to hairpin I) and the branchpoint sequence (BPS) of the intron results the bulging out of an unpaired adenosine, on the BPS, which initiates a nucleophilic attack at the intronic 5' splice site, thus starting the first of two transesterification reactions that mediate splicing. The record is from RNAcentral. Lineage: Eukaryota; Metazoa; Chordata; Actinopteri; Salmoniformes; Salmonidae.
UUAUCGCCCGGCCUUUUGGCUCAGAUCAGGUGUAGUAUCUGUUCUUAUCAGUUUAAUAUUGAUACGUCCCCAUCGGGGACUACAUAUUGCUGGAUUUUUUCGAACAGGGAGUCGGAAUGCUAACCGACGCUCCACGCAUGAAUGGUAUUGCAGAAGUACCCGGAAGGGCAACACUUUU